AUGCCGCCGGAGCGCUGCCGCGCUUGCCUCGACGGAGUCGGCGCUGAGAUACGGCGGCGGAUCGGUAGCAGCAAGAUGGGCGGGGCGAUUCAUGGUGCGCGGUGCACACUCCGGUACGAGACCGGCAACCAAUUCUUUACGGAGACCGCCACAGGGCAACGGAAGGGCCAUGCACUCCUGAUUAUUGCCACAGUGUACUCGCUCUCGGUCGUCUGUACACGUUUGCUUUUCUGUGUCCUAUACAUCACAAGACGAAGAAAAAGAGGGAAGAUAAAUUCCACGGAGCAGCCCAAGGACAUAGAUGAAAUCCUGAGGCUUUGGAAGAUGGAAGAUACCGGCUCUGAGUUCUCCCUGUAUGAUUUCUCGCAAAUUGCAGAUGCUACAGACAACUUCUCACCCCGCAAAAUAUUAGGACAGGGUGCCUUUGGGCCCGUUUACAAAGGAAUUUUUCCUGACGGACAAGAAGUAGCAAUUAAAAAACUUGCUGCACGGUCAAGACAAGGUCUAGUGGAAUUCAAAAAUGAGAUCCAACUGGUAGCAAAACUUCAGCACAGACACCUUGUUAGGCUGCUGGGUUGUUGCAUCCAUGAUGAAGAGAAGAUACUGAUCUAUGAAUACAUGUCAAACAAAAGCUUGGACUACUUCAUUUUCGAUCCAAACAGGAGGACAUCAUUAAACUGGAUGAUACGACUUAAAAUAGUAGAAGGAAUAGCCCAAGGGCUUCUAUACCUUCACGAGCAUUCACGGCUGCGUAUCAUCCAUAGGGAUCUGAAAGCAAGCAAUAUUUUGUUAGACUCCGAGUUAAAUCCUAAGAUUUCUGAUUUUGGCAUGGCAAGGAUAUUUCCCUCAGAUGCCACUCAAACAAAAACAAGCAGGCUUGUUGGAACAUAUGGUUACAUGGCUCCUGAGUACGCAUUUGAGGGCCUCCUUUCGAUCAAGUCAGAUGUUUUCAGUUUUGGGGUAUUGCUUCUUGAGAUUAUAAGUGGAAAGAGGAGUGCAGGAUUUCAGCAUUAUGGAGAAAGAGAAUUUCACAAUCUUCUUCAAUAUGCAUGGCAGAUGUCGGAAGAAGAAACAUGGCAUGAAUUCAUUGAUCAAUCAAUUGGUGAUGAAUAUGAACCAGGAGACAUGAUGAAAUAUCUCAGGUUGGCACUAAUGUGUGUCCAAGUAAAAGCAGUAGACCGUCCCACUAUGUCUGAUAUUGUUGCAAUGCUUAGCAGUGACGACAUCACCAUACCAGAGCCAAGGCAACCAGCUUACUCCUAUACCAGAGUAGAUGUGUCAGUAAAUAUCAAUUUAUCAUGCACCAGAAAUGAUAUAACCCUCACCACUACUGAUGGUAGAUAA
Molecule: ribosomal RNA, 1344 nt
Filed under: Triticum aestivum (bread wheat)
Lineage: Eukaryota; Viridiplantae; Streptophyta; Magnoliopsida; Poales; Poaceae
Description: partial small subunit ribosomal RNA
Source: RNAcentral